UGCCUAACACAUGCAAGUCGAACGAGAAAGUGGAGCUUGCUUCACAAGUAAAGUGGCAAACGGGUGAGUAACACGUGAACAACCUACCCUCGAGCGGGGAAUAACACCGCGAAAGCGGUGCUAAUACCGCAUAAUAUCUCGAAAUCGCAUGUUUUCGAGAUCAAAAGCGCAAGUUGCUUGAGGAGGGGUUCGCGCCUGAUUAGCUUGUUGGUGAGGUAAUGGCUCACCAAGGCUGCGAUCAGUAGCCGGCCUGAGAGGGUGAACGGCCACACUGGAACUGAGACACGGUCCAGACUCCUACGGGAGGCAGCAGUGGGGAAUUUUGCGCAAUGGGCGAAAGCCUGACGCAGCAACGCCGCGUGGAGGAUGAAGGCCCUCGGGUCGUAAACUCCUGUCAGUGGGGAAGAAUGCUUCGGUUUGACUGUACCCGCUGAGGAAGCCACGGCUAACUCCGUGCCAGACAGCCGCGGUAAUACGGAGGU
RNAcentral lists this ribosomal RNA (482 nucleotides) under uncultured bacterium. Its description in RNAcentral is "bacterial SSU rRNA". It matches the Rfam family "Bacterial small subunit ribosomal RNA", at positions 45 to 532 of the family's 1533-position model. The record is from RNAcentral.